Molecule: long non-coding RNA, 326 nt
Filed under: Medicago truncatula (barrel medic)
Lineage: Eukaryota; Viridiplantae; Streptophyta; Magnoliopsida; Fabales; Fabaceae
Description: lncRNA gene28573
Source: RNAcentral
AUGUCUUCAAAUUCUGACGAUAGAACUGGAACUUGUACUUCUAGCACAUUCUUUUUAGAAUUUUCCAUAUUCAUAUCCACAGCAUCCCUAUCACUCCUCUGAUUAUGGUUCUCUUCAAUUGCAAACAUUUUAGCAGCCUCCAUCGCAGCUCUCCUUAUCUCCACCGCAUCAUUUGACUCCGGCAACGUCAACCGCCAUGCAGAGUCAGCAAAAUUAAGACAAGCUGAUUUUCCUUUAAGAUAAGUGCAGCAACAUCAUGUGCACGUGCAGCCAUUUCAGGAGUUGGAUAUGUUCCAAGCCAAAUCCUUGACUUAUUAUUUUUGUUA